Molecule: non-coding RNA, 363 nt
Organism: Ceratotherium simum simum (southern white rhinoceros)
Lineage: Eukaryota; Metazoa; Chordata; Mammalia; Perissodactyla; Rhinocerotidae
Source: the annotation of a RefSeq genome assembly
AUGGACCAGAGCUGGGGAAUCCUCCUCUUGGUGGCUGUGGAUACAGGUGUCCACUCCCAGGUGCAGCUGGUGUAGUCUGGGGCUGAGGUGAGGAAGCCUGGGGCAUCAGUCAAAGUCUCCUGCAAGGCAUCUGGAUACACCUUCACUGACUACUUCACACACCGGGUGCAACACGCCCCUGGACAAGGGCAUGACUGGAUGGUACGGAUCAACCCAAACAGUGGUGGCACAGACUAUACACAGAAGCUCCAGGGCAGAGUCACCAUGACCAGCAACAUGUCCACGAGCACAGCCUACAUGGAGCUGAGCAGUUCAAGGUCUGAGGACACAGCCGUGUAUUACUGUGGGAGAGACGCAGUGUGA